RNAcentral lists this long non-coding RNA (1713 nucleotides) under Gallus gallus (chicken). Its description in RNAcentral is "lncRNA (ENSGALG00010020566.1)". Lineage: Eukaryota; Metazoa; Chordata; Aves; Galliformes; Phasianidae. The record is from RNAcentral.
GUAGGGUCUGAGCAGCAGAGGUGGUUGUCUGGAGGGGACAGAGCGGCAUUCCCUCCCAUGGCUGUGCAGAUGCUGAGGUCACAGAGUGGAGCUGGCUGUGCUCAAUCCUAUAACAGCUCUGCCACCCCGUCAUAGCCCUGAGAGUUGUGUGUGGUCUGCAGUUGGGUCUUGCAACCAGCCAGAGCCCUCUCACUCCAUUUCCAGUUCACAUCACUCUAAUAGGCCCUCAGCUGGCCCAAGAAAUUCCCAAACAUCUCUUUCUACAAACAAGGAGUUGGAUUUCUUUUGUCUUGCAAUCAGGGGAGACAAAUUCUCCCCUCAACCACAGUUUAAUUUAUUCCUUUUGGUAGUUAUUGCCUCCACCUACUGAAGUUGUCUAGACUGUUGGGAUUUUUUUCCACCUUUUUUCCUUUUUUCCCCCUUUUUUCUUUUCAGUUCAAGAUUUUUGGAAGCUGCCUUUGCCUCUUUCCGAAACAAGUUUAUUUUUAGUGUCACUUUUUCCAUUGGCAAGAUAUCAUGGCUGAGUGAGCUUCUCUUGGAGGAACUUCUUUGCUUUCAAUAGGAAAAUGAGAAACCCGCCCAGUUGCAGGGAUGGUGCAGCAGAAGGCACUUGAGGUAACAUCAUACUGUCCAAGCGGGAAGCAGGUUUGCCUGGAGCAGGCCCCGCUCACGCCAACAAAAUGGAGGCCACGCAAUGCAGGCCCCGCUCACACCAACAAAAUGGAGGCCACGCAAUGCAGGCCCCACUCACACCAACAAAAUGGAGGCCACGCAAUGCAGGCCCCGCUCACGCCAACAAAAUGGAGGCCACGCAAUGCAGGCCCCGCUCACGCCAACAAAAUGGAGGCCACGCAAUGCAGGCCCCGCUCACACCAACAGGAAGAUUGGCUGCUGGGUUUGUUGGCACUGAGAGAAAUUCCCUUUCAAACCCAAGCCCACCUAAUUGAAGAGGGUUAUGGAAUCUGCUGAUGUGCUCUUGGUCUGCUUUACCCUUUGGGUGGAGCUCUGUUAAGGAGGAAGCCAACAGGACUUGCACCUGCCUAGGGAAUGGCUCACUGCCACUGACUUCUUGGAACAACCACACACCAUCAGUGGACCAACAGAACUUCAAAUUGUGAGUAACUUGACCACACACACCCUCACACAGCACUAAACAGUUCUGAGGUGACUUCUUAGAGAGAGGGGUCAGGAACACAACAUACUUUAGCUGCUCUGCUGUUUGUCCCCCUACAAUCUCCACAUCGCUUCCUGGCUACAGUUCCAGCAUGUCUCACCACAGCUCCUACUAUUUCAGAUAAAUAUUUUCCUGCUUUUUCUCUGAAAUAUGGAGACUCUCCCAAUCAUCUCGUGAUUUUGCUAGUACAUGCUGUUAGAAAAUUUCUGCUGAGAAAGAGAUGGCAGAGCUGAGUCCAGAGUGCCCAUCCAUAGAGUUGAAUUGCACUAGAAUGGUUACCUUGCAAAGAAUAAGGGCAUAAAAAUCCAACAGUAUUACCUUUGGAAAGGAAGAAGCAGGCUCUAAACAAUGGACUGUACCUGCAUUUUUCUAGUGGUGUUUUUCAGAAUCCACACCCUCAGAGGAAAGGCUCUUCAUCAACCAACAGCAGCCCAGCUUUGCUGCUGAGCUCCAUUCUAAAGAACAGCAACAGAGCUCAGGUAUAGCAACACUGACAGCUAAGAAGGAAAGAAAGCAGUAUAUUUUAAAGCAAAUAUUUC